GUGCUCUCUUCAGCAGCACAUAUACUAAAAUUGGAACGAUACAGAGAAGAUUAGCAUGGCCCCUGCACAAGGAUGACACGCAAAUUCGUGGAAGCAUUCCAUUUUUUU
Molecule: small nuclear RNA, 108 nt
Organism: Notechis scutatus (mainland tiger snake)
Lineage: Eukaryota; Metazoa; Chordata; Lepidosauria; Squamata; Elapidae
Source: Ensembl